This 604-nucleotide ribosomal RNA is filed under the name uncultured fungus. RNAcentral's name for it is "eukaryotic LSU rRNA". It matches the Rfam family "Eukaryotic large subunit ribosomal RNA", at positions 23 to 641 of the family's 3401-position model. The record is from RNAcentral. Lineage: Eukaryota; Fungi.
ACCCGCUGAACUUAAGCAUAUCAAUAAGCGGAGGAAAAGAAACCAACAGGGAUUGCCCUAGUAACGGCGAGUGAAGCGGCAAGAGCUCAAAUUUGAAAUCUGGCCCCCUUGGGGGUCCGAGUUGUAAUUUGCAGAGGGUGCUUUGGCGUUGGCUGUGGUCUAAGUUUCUUGGAACAGGACGUCGCAGAGGGUGAGAAUCCCGUAUGUGGCCGCCAGCCUCCGCCGUGUAAAGCCCCUUCGACGAGUCGAGUUGUUUGGGAAUGCAGCUCUAAAUGGGAGGUAAAUUUCUUCUAAAGCUAAAUACUGGCCAGAGACCGAUAGCGCACAAGUAGAGUGAUCGAAAGAUGAAAAGCACUUUGGAAAGAGAGUCAAAAAGCACGUGAAAUUGUUGAAAGGGAAGCGCUUGCAGCCAGACUUGCCUGUAGUUGCUCAUCCGGGCUCUUGCCCGGUGCACUCUUCUGCGGGCAGGCCAGCAUCAGUCCGGGCGGUUGGAUAAAUGCCUGCUAAAUGUACCUCUCCUCGGGGAGGACUUAUAGGGCAGGCGGCAUACAACCAGCCUGGACUGAGGUCCGCGCAUCUGCUAGGAUGCUGGCGUAAUGGCUGU